This 305-nucleotide long non-coding RNA is filed under the name Felis catus (domestic cat). RNAcentral describes it as "lncRNA (ENSFCAG00000049712.1)". Lineage: Eukaryota; Metazoa; Chordata; Mammalia; Carnivora; Felidae. The record is from RNAcentral.
GUGAGAGAGAAAACUUGAACUAUUCAUUUUGAAAUGGAUCUGGAGACUCACCAACUCACUGUCCCUUGCCUGUCUUCUACUCUCCACUCCAAAACAGGUGGCCCAAGAAGCACCUCUUUGUAUGUCCUAGCAUUUUAAAGUACCUAAGACAGUAUUUUCAUCUUAAAGUCUUUACACAGGAUUUUAUUUCCAAUACCUCUUUUAUACAUUGCCAAUAUCCGGUAACUCAAAGCAACACCGUUGUAGCCUACAUGAAAGCAAAGUUUUGAAGAAAUAAAGCUAACCCCCUUGGAAAAUUGCCGCCA